GAGCUGGCGGCAGGCUUACACAUGCAAGUCGAACGCCCCCGCAAGGGGGAGUGGCAGACGGGUGAGUAACACGUGGGAACAUACCCUUCGGUUCGGAACAACGUCUGGAAACGGACGCUAAUACCGGAUACGGCCUUUUGGGCGAAAGAUUGAUCGCCGAAGGAUUGGCCCGCGUUCGAUUAGCUGGAUGGCGGGGUAACGGCCCACCAUGGCGACGAUCGAUAGCUGGUCUGAGAGGAUGGCCAGCCACAUUGGGACUGAGACACGGCCCAAACUCCUACGGGAGGCAGCAGUGGGGAAUAUUGGACAAUGGGCGCAAGCCUGAUCCAGCCAUGCCGCGUGAGUGAUGACGGCCUUAGGGUUGUAAAGCUCUUUCGCACGCGACGAUAAUGACGGUAGCGUGAGAAGAAGCCCCGGCUAACUUCGUGCCAGCAGCCGCGGUAAUACGAAGGGGGCUAGCGUUGUUCGGAAUCACUGGGCGUAAAGGGUGCGUAGGCGGGCAUUUCAGUCAGGGGUGAAAUCCCGAGGCUCAACCUCGGAACUGCCCUUGAUACUUGGGUGUCUUGAGUCCGGA
This 574-nucleotide ribosomal RNA is filed under the name uncultured bacterium. Its description in RNAcentral is "bacterial SSU rRNA". It matches the Rfam family "Bacterial small subunit ribosomal RNA", at positions 33 to 652 of the family's 1533-position model. The record is from RNAcentral.